CAAUAGCGUAUAUUAAAGUUGUUGCAGUUAAAAAGCUCGUAGUUGGAUUUCUGAUCGAGACAUCAGGUCGGGUCCGAGAGGAUCAUGUACUUUGAUUUUGUUUUGAUCACCCUUGGGGAGAGCAUUUCUGGCAUUCAGUUGUCGGGAUUGGGAUCCUCAUCGUUUACUGUGAAAAAAUUAGAGUGUUCAAAGCAGGCCUCGGCCUCUGAAUACAUUAGCAUGGAAUAAUAAGAUAGGACUUUGGUGGUCUAUUUUGUUGGUUUGCACGCCAAAGUAAUGAUUAAUAGGGAUAGUUGGGGGUAUUCGUAUUCAAUUGUCAGAGGUGAAAUUCUUGGAUUUAUGGAAGACGAACUACUGCGAAAGCAUUUACCAAGGAUGUUUUCAUUAA
This 388-nucleotide ribosomal RNA is filed under the name uncultured eukaryote. RNAcentral's name for it is "partial 18S ribosomal RNA". It matches the Rfam family "Eukaryotic small subunit ribosomal RNA", at positions 592 to 976 of the family's 1831-position model. The record is from RNAcentral.